Orcinus orca (killer whale) is the source of this 2523-nucleotide long non-coding RNA. RefSeq lists it as uncharacterized. The transcript has 3 exons. NCBI's taxonomy places the organism in Eukaryota, Metazoa, Chordata, Mammalia, Artiodactyla, Delphinidae. The record is from RefSeq and is a predicted model, not a curated record.
GAAGAUGGGUGCAAAAAAUUUGAGAAGGCCCCAGCAAACUUCCCCUCACGUCUCAUCCGUACAUCUUUGCAGAAGACUUAACCAGGCUUAACCAGGUGUCUUGAAACAACUACUGGUUAGAGGAGGACCCAGUCCUGAAGGUUUUUCAAGAAGAAACUCUGCCCAUUCCAUAGGCAGGUGGCUCCCUGCUCUGCUGUUUUGGACCUUCAAUCACUAGUGACAUGCCAGCAAUCCACAAAGUCCUAGGUGUCUCUUUUAGCUAUCAUCAUCUGAAAGACAUCUAAAAGGUUUUUUUUUAGUGUUUGAGAGCAUUAGGUUUCAUUUCUUGCAUUCCACAAGAGCGCGGAUGGAGGCACGUGGAAAAAGAACGAUAAUGAGUAGAAGAUUACGAUACAUACCACGAUUGAGUGCACAUGGAAGUUUCUAAGAGAAUUCAGAGAAUGAAGAGGAGUCUCUGUUCAGGAAGGCUUGAUGGAGAAUGUGGAAUUUGCUCAAGGCUUUUGUUAAGAUUUUGAUAGGAAAACUAUCAUAGGAAAUGGCUAGAAUAGAUUUUAGAAUCAUAUAGUAUGUAUCUUGGUUCACUUUCAAAAUCAGACUGGGCUUUGAAACGAACAGGUUUUAAUCAAAGCUGGCUUUAUAGGAGGAGUAUAAUUUAUGCACUACUGUUUUAAAACAAUUAGUGUGAGUGUGUGUGUGUGUUUUUGUGUGAUUGAGCCCAAUUAUUGUAAGUCUACACUCAUUAGAAGUAAUGUACCCAUGAAGACGAGCAGAAUAGUAUGUAGAUGUGAUCUCAAUUUAAAAUAGAAAAAUCGAUUCAAUACACUCUGUAUCAGCGCUUCAAAAAAUAAAAUGAAAUGCUCCAAUAUUGAGAAGUAAUUAAGGUUACCUUUAGUUGUUAAGUCUGUGACCAUAUUUCAUAGGAUAAGUUUGGGAGGCAGCUUUUCAACAUGAGAGCAGACGUCAGUACAUUUUUUGGAGUGUUCUACUUUGCCUUAUCUUUAUUACGUACUGAAAAAGAAAUAAGACAAAACACAUCUUCAGUCAAAUAAUGUAAUAUAAUAUGGAAAGCACUGACUGUUGUCAACCUGAUAAUCAGGAUAUACUUUCAAGGUUUUGUGGGUUUUUUUAGCCAAUAUAACUAUAAAAUGACAAAAUACCCUUUUCCAGGAUAUUUAGUGAUUCACUGGAUGAGUCAUACCUUUUAAAAAAUCUCUGCUCCUUUCAUCGUAACUUGGAAAUUUUCCAUAUUAUAAACUGUGUUUUCUUACGUGACCAUAUGAAACAAAGACUAUGUUUGUAAACCUAGCUUCCACAUGAGUCUACACUAUUAUUGCAGCAUGGGUUUAUAUGGUGGGGAAGUCUUUUAUAUUUAUUCUAAAUAACUUGAUUCUUAUCCGAAUUUUAAAAAAUUUGCCCAGGGUGAGACAAAUUCUUUACCAUGUUAAAGUUUCAAAGUUUUGUGGAAAGACCUGAGGGUCAUGUAGCACACUAGAUGUGGUACGCCAUUGGGUAUGACUUCCCUUGUUGUGCCUUGAAAGCUACUUCUCCUUCCACAGCAGAGUUGCAGAUCAAAAGUGAACUACUAUUUUUUGUGGUAAGUAAACAUUUGGAAAACUGGAGCCCCACUUUUAGAUGUGGUGGUGAGAUUAUAUUACUCUCCAUUCGUACCUAGAAACACCUUAAUAUGAUCAUUUACUCCAUAAGCAAAGCAUUACCACGUACAUUAUUCCCCCUUGUUUUUGCAUUUUACAUUAUUCACACUAACGCCAAAGCAGAUUUAUUAAUACUGGACUGCAAAUGGCAUUAUUCCUCAUACUCUGAGAAUUUACAUCCUGGGAUAAACAACACUUAUGGAGCAAUAAAUGUAGCACAAGUGGAAAAAAAAUCACAUUAUCUGUGGCAUUUUUUUCCUUCUGGGAUUUAAAAUGCAUUCAAAUUGUUGACCAGCAAAACUUACUGAAUGACCACUGUGUUUGGGCACUGCAUCCCAAGAUACAGAACUCUAAGGGGAAUUCUUUUCUUCAAAGCAUGUAAAGACUAGCUGGAAAAGGACUGACACACAGGAAAGACCAGCAAACAUAAUAGUAUUCUAUAAGCACAUAUUAAAUAGUAUGCUGCAAACUAUUCAUGGUCUAGACAUGCACUGUUCAAUAUGGCAGGCGCUUGUUACAUAUGGCUAUCGAGCAUCUGAAAUGAGGUUAUUGUGGGCUAAGACAUGGAAACAACCUAAGUAUCCAUCAGUAGGUGAAUGGAUAAAGAAGAUGUGAUAUAUACAUACAUUAUAUAUAUAUAUAUAUAUAUGAAUAUUACUCAGCCAUAAUGAACUCUUGACACUUGUGACAACAUAAAUGAACCUUGAGGGUAUUAUCCCAAGUGAAAUAAGUCAGAUGGAGAAAGACAACUAUCAUAUGAUUUCACUCAUAUGUAGAAUAUGAAAAACUAACAAGCAAGCAAACAAGCAAGACAACAAAAUAAAUGAACAAACCCAGCCAAACAAAAACAAACACAUAGAUACAGAGAACA